UCACCCGAGCUCGGGUACUGUUCACCCGACCCAAAAAACUUCUCCGGCCGAUUUCUCCACCAUCCGACGUCGCCUCGUGUCGUGCCACCUAUCAAACUGACGGGCUCGACGAGCUCCAUCUUUGGGGCUAUGCCUUGCACUCCGGCGAAACCACACACGGUGUAGCAACCGCCGGAAGUUACUGUUGUGGCGGCGCCGCCUCCUCCGGCCACCAUGGCUCGAGAUUCUUGGGGGGUUUUGCUUGUCUCAGUCCCAGCAACAUUCCCACAAAAGGAAUCGAGCCAAAUCGAAGUGUGACUGACGAAACGAGUGAGGAAAUUACUUUCAGGGUCGUGGAAGUUGCACGCAGGAAAGAAGUGGAUAACUCCGCAGGUGUGGAUUAGCGGGAAUUGACGGACCGCUCAGAGGACUUGAAGUUAUUUAUCUCCAGCUUGUGUGAGGAUUUUGUG
Molecule: long non-coding RNA, 449 nt
Organism: Argentina anserina (silverweed cinquefoil)
Lineage: Eukaryota; Viridiplantae; Streptophyta; Magnoliopsida; Rosales; Rosaceae
Exons: 3
Source: RefSeq, a predicted model, not a curated record